UCUCAGUCCCUGGUGGAGAGCGGCGGUGGCCUCGUGUCCCCUGGAGGGUCCAUGGACCUCAUCUGCAAAGGCUCCGGCUUCACCUUCAGCAGCUUCGGGAUGGGGUGGGUCCGUCAGGAGCCCCAGAAGGGCCUCCAGUGGGUCGCGGGGAUCCACAGCAAUGGUGGUACCACCUCCUACGCGCCGUCGGUCAAGGGGCGCUUCACCAUCUCCAGGGACAACGGCCAGAGCACGGUGACGCUGCGGAUGACCAACCUGAAGGCCGAGGACACGGCCACCUACUACUGCGCCAAAGACGCUUAUGGUGGUGGUGGUUAUGGUGCUGGUGGUGAUGACCACCAGAACCCCUUCGAGAGUCCUCUGGGACCCUUUUAG
Non-coding RNA from Cuculus canorus (common cuckoo), 375 nucleotides. The record is from the annotation of a RefSeq genome assembly. Lineage: Eukaryota; Metazoa; Chordata; Aves; Cuculiformes; Cuculidae.